RNAcentral lists this ribosomal RNA (253 nucleotides) under uncultured bacterium. RNAcentral's name for it is "partial 16S ribosomal RNA". It matches the Rfam family "Bacterial small subunit ribosomal RNA", at positions 524 to 776 of the family's 1533-position model. The record is from RNAcentral.
UACGGGGGGGGCAAGCGUUGUUCGGAAUUACUGGGCGUAAAGGGUUCGUAGGUGGCCAACUAAGUCAGACGUGAAAUCCCUCAGCUUAACUGGGGAACUGCGUCCGAUACUGGAUGGCUUGAGUUUGGGAGAGGGAUGCGGAAUUCCAGGUGUAGCGGUGAAAUGCGUAGAUAUCAGGAGGAACACCGAUGGCGAAGGCAGGUCUCUGGGCUGACACUGACGCUCAUGCACGAAAGCGUGGGGAGCAAACAGG